Phascolarctos cinereus (koala) is the source of this 971-nucleotide non-coding RNA. Lineage: Eukaryota; Metazoa; Chordata; Mammalia; Diprotodontia; Phascolarctidae. The record is from RefSeq and is a predicted model, not a curated record.
AUUAACAGUAUCUAUGUCCCAUUGUAUUGUUAUUUAUUUGUUAGAUAUUUCCCAAUUACAUUUUAAUCAUGGUCAGGCCAUCUGCACACUUCUCUGGUCUCCCCACAAUCCUUCCCUCAUCCCCACCCCCAAUCCGUUGGGAUGGUUCUGUCCUUACUUGGAUUGCUCCCAAGGGUAUUCCUUCAUUUGGCCGGCCCCAUUUCUGUUAGCUGUCUCUAGCCACUCUACUUGGUUUCGACAAGCUCACCAGUGGGCCCUAUUCUAAUCGGUUAAUCUAGGGGCCAAUAAGAAGGCCCUCAGAAUCUUGUUGGCAUUGGCCAUACUCUGGAAGGCUGGAGUGAUCUCAAAGAAUUUCUGCUUCUGUGUCCCCACUGCCAGUCUCUCAUUAUCCACGUGAAGCAGGAAUAUACUGGAGUCAGCUCAUAAUUGCCGAGCUGAUUGUUAAAUUUUCAGUGUAAGUGCUUACACCUUGGAAGUUGCAAAUGCUACAAAUCAGAGCUUCAUGUAUUGUUUUGUUGAUUAUCUAGCCUUAAAGUGCUGGAAGAUGCAUUAAUAAUGCAAAUUAAAAAGUGUGUUGUGCGUGCUUUUUUUUUUUCUUUUGCAGACUCUUGCCUGAAAGAGAUUGGGGAUUUUUAGCCUGGACAAGAGAAAACUUGUGGGUGGCAAGUCUCAGUUGUCUUUCUCAAGUUACUCACUAUGUGGGAAAUCAGCCUAGGACCUUCUCUGGAACCAGUGUAUCAAUAAAUUUAAAGAUCUGGAACCAAGAAUCAUGAUCAAAUAAACUCCGUCAUUGUCCUUGGAUGGGCUGUGUCAACUCAUUUCCUUGUGUGGCCCCACUCAACAUCUCAGUACCUUUCCAGACCAAAGUGACUCUCCCUGUCCACCACCCCUCUACCCUUUAUUUCCCUCAUUUGAAUGUAAGCUCUUUGAGGUCGGAGGAUUGCCUUUGCCUUUGUAUUUGUAACCCCAAA